UGCGGGUUCCCAAAAAUCCAUAACUUUUGUCUGGUUCUUGAAUUUAUAUUGAAAAAACUAGUAAAUAUAUAAGAAUUAUAAGUUGGGAACCCACAAACAAAGUGUGUUAUUGGUCUAGUGGUAAAAAUUAUAAGUUGGGAACCCACAACCUUUAAAUUCUAGAUCUGCCUCUUCACACUCUAUACUCAUAAUCUAGAGAACACACAUCACCUUUCAUUAAAACACACAUACAGCUUCAUAAAUGCGCACAGUAAAUAGAGAGCUGGUUGGAGUGAGCAAAAUAAAGAGAUGGGAAGGUGAGAGAAACGAAAUGAAAGAGAGAGAGCAGAUCAGUGAAGAAAAGGUAAGAAAUGGGAGAGAUAUAGAGAGAAUCGAGAGAGAGGGAUAAAAGAGGAAAAUAGUUUUUUCGGUGACAAUGUCACCGGAAUAGUGGCCUCAUCACAAAUUCCGGCCACCCUUCAUCAAAAUUUGUCGGAAAACAGCCAUUUCAUUAUUGCUGGAGCUUCGGCGAGCCACUAGUUUCAUCCCACCACAA
This 535-nucleotide long non-coding RNA is filed under the name Capsicum annuum. RNAcentral describes it as "long non-coding RNA (CANN_LNC002202)". The record is from RNAcentral. Lineage: Eukaryota; Viridiplantae; Streptophyta; Magnoliopsida; Solanales; Solanaceae.